UUUCGAAUCAUUCACAAUGGGCGCAAGCCUGAUGGUGCAAUGCCGCGUGGGGGAUGACGGUCUUCGGAUUGUAAACCCCUGUCAAGAAGGACUAAACCACUGUGAAGAGCAGUGCUGAAUUAACUUCUAGAGGAAGAGGUGGCUAACUCCGUGCCAGCAGCCGCGGUAAUACGGAGACCUCGAGCGUUACUCGGAUUCACUGGGCGUAAAGGGACCGCAGGCGGCUAAAUGUGUCAGGUGUGAAAUCCCGGGGCUCAACUCCGGAACUGCGCCUGAAACUGUUUAGCUAGAGACUCGGAGAGGUGAGUGGAAUUCCAGGUGUAGCGGUGAAAUGCGUAGAUAUCUGGAGGAACACCAAUGGCGAAGGCAGCUCACUGGACGAGAUCUGACGCUCAUGGUCGAAAGUAUGGGUAGCGAAAGGGAUUAGAUACCCCCGUAGUCC
Molecule: ribosomal RNA, 442 nt
Filed under: uncultured prokaryote
Description: bacterial SSU rRNA
Rfam family: Bacterial small subunit ribosomal RNA
Source: RNAcentral